This is a long non-coding RNA of Suricata suricatta (meerkat), 578 nucleotides long. RefSeq lists it as uncharacterized. The transcript has 2 exons. The record is from RefSeq and is a predicted model, not a curated record. NCBI's taxonomy places the organism in Eukaryota, Metazoa, Chordata, Mammalia, Carnivora, Herpestidae.
UCAUGCGGUCCUUCCCACUGUCCUCCCCCAUCCAAGACGCCUCCUCACCUUUGCUUGUGCUGUCCUUGCACAGAGGUUCCCCCCAACUCUCCCAGUUGAAACCUGGCCCCGUCACCAAGUGCCACCACCAUCAAACCACUUUUCUUCCGGGGGACAUGGAGGCCAGUGGUCCCCUCCUGUAGCUGUGACAACUGGAAGUGGUUUCAGACAUUGCCGAUGUCCCCCUGCUCCCCGCCCCAGAAGAGCGACUGUCUCGAAUCUACAAUACUCACUGCACUCUGUCUUGACUCAUGAGUCCUUGAAUCUGUGCCCAUCGCAGCAGCUGUGCCGGGGACCUGCACUCAGAUGCCAGGCAGGGAACCUGGUAGAGCAGUGAAAAACUGGCCUCCGUGUGUCAAACUCAGCCCGUGGCUGCCACGCAGGCAUGUGGGCCCACUGUUGCUGGAUUUGAUUUCCUGAGAUAUCGUGAUGUAUGAUCGCCACAUGUUAAAUAAACAUGGUGGCAGCGUAUUCUAUGCAAAACAAACAGACAAAUAAAAGCUGUCUGUGGGGGACUCUGGCCCGUGGGCAGUCUGCAA